AUUGAACGCUGGCGGCAGGCCUAACACAUGCAAGUCGAGCGGAGCGGCGGACGGGUGAGUAAUGCCUAGGAAUCUGCCUGGUCGUGGGGGAUAACGUCCGGAAACGGGCGCUAAUACCGCAUCCUAUCAGAUGAGCCUAGGUCGGAUUAGCUAGGGGGUGGGGUAAAGGCCUACCAAGGCGACGAUCCGUAACUGGUCUGAGAGGAUGAUCAGUCACACUGGAACUGAGACACGGUCCAGACGCCUACGGGAGGCAGCAGUGGGGAAUAUUGCGCAAGGGGGGCAACCCUGACGCAGCAAUGCCGCGUGAAUGAAGAAGGCCUUCGGGUUGUAAAGUUCUUUCGGUGAGGAGGCGUUAAUCACAGAAGAAGCACCGGCUAACUCCGUGCCAGCCGCCGCGGUAAUAC
This 407-nucleotide ribosomal RNA is filed under the name uncultured bacterium. RNAcentral describes it as "partial 16S ribosomal RNA". It matches the Rfam family "Bacterial small subunit ribosomal RNA", at positions 29 to 526 of the family's 1533-position model. The record is from RNAcentral.